Molecule: ribosomal RNA, 375 nt
Filed under: Zebrasoma velifer (sailfin tang)
Lineage: Eukaryota; Metazoa; Chordata; Actinopteri; Acanthuriformes; Acanthuridae
Description: partial 12S ribosomal RNA
Rfam family: Bacterial small subunit ribosomal RNA
Source: RNAcentral
CAUCGAUGACAUUUUACAACUGUCAUCCGCCCGGGUACUACGAGCAUCAGCUUAAAACCCAAAGGACUUGGCGGUGCUUUAGAUCCACCUAGAGGAGCCUGUUCUAGAACCGAUAACCCCCGUUCAACCUCACCCUUCCUUGUUUAUCCCGCCUAUAUACCACCGUCGUCAGCUUACCCUGUGAAGGCUUAAAUAGUAAGCAAAAUUGGCACAGCCCAAAACGUCAGGUCGAGGUGUAGCGUAUGGAAGGGGAAGAAAUGGGCUACAUUCCCUAAUCCAGCGCAUACGGACGACACAUUGAAAUACGUAUCCGAAGGAGGAUUUAGCAGUAAGCAGAAAAUAGAGCGUUCCGCUGAAACCGGCCCUGAAGCGCGC